Molecule: long non-coding RNA, 1154 nt
Organism: Ictalurus punctatus (channel catfish)
Lineage: Eukaryota; Metazoa; Chordata; Actinopteri; Siluriformes; Ictaluridae
Source: Ensembl
AAUUGAAAUGUAUACGCUCACUGGGCACUUUAAUAGGAACACCUGUACCCCCAUGCAAUUAUCCAAUCAACCAAUCAUGUUGCAGCAGCACACUGCAUAAAAUUAUGCAGAUACACAUGAAGAGCUUCAGUUAAUGUUCACAUCAAACGUCAGAAGGGGGAAAAUGUGAUCUCGGUGACUUUGACUGUGGCAUGUUUGUAGACAGGCUGCUUGAGUAUUCAGAUUCCUGGGAUUUUAAUGCCACAGUAUUGUGUAAAAAAACAAAACCCAUCCAGGUUGUUGGCAGUUCUGAGGGAGGAAACACCUUGGUGAUGAGAGAGGUCUGAGCUGAAAGGAAGGCUACGACAAAGAAGAUGAUGCCAAGCAUACCUCAAAUUCCACCAAGGCUUGGUUGCAGAAGAAGUCCUGGAAGAUUCUACAGGGCCAUCACAGUCACCUGACUUAAACCCCAUAGAAAAUCUCUGGUGGGAUUUCAAGAAGGCAGUCGCAGCACAAAAACCCAAGAAUAUUACUGAACUGGAGGCCAUUGUUCAUGAGGAAUGGGCUAAGAUUCUUCAGGAAUGCCCCUAGAAGCUGGUGUCUGGCUAUUCAUCUCGUUACAGCAGGUCAUAACAGUAAAAGGGUGCUCUACUAAGUACUAAAGACGCUUGCCAUGAAGGGGUUGAAUAAUGUUGAAACUGGAGAAGUCAUUUGUCAUUUGAAGUCAAGAAACCAUUGAAGAAUUAAUUGUGUUAAACCAUUCCAAUUGCUUUUGUUUGAUUUGUUCGUUGCAAACAGCUGAAAGUCUGUACAUUUUGACAAUAAACCUGAUUUGCAAUGGGGGUUGAAUAAUUUUGAUUGCAACUGUAUACAUGGAUAUAUAGCAUAUACAGAACCAGGCACAGGUUAAGUGUAGGGUUCUCAGUGUAAACUCAGUAAGCGGGUUCAAUGCAGAUGUUUCACUUCACAGCCUGAGGAGGAAAAGAAAAAUCUCCAUUACCUGACUUCAUAUUUAACACCCAGCACUGCACUUACACCGUGGGUGGAGAAGAUAAUGCUCUGAAAAGAGAGGUGGGGGAAAAAAAACAAAAAUUAUAAAAUUAAUAAAGCUUUUUAGCUGGCAUAAUCAGUCAUUUUGAACUUGACUGGAGAGAGCAACAAAACAAAUAAAAUUU